This 463-nucleotide ribosomal RNA is filed under the name uncultured bacterium. RNAcentral describes it as "bacterial SSU rRNA". It matches the Rfam family "Bacterial small subunit ribosomal RNA", at positions 331 to 792 of the family's 1533-position model. The record is from RNAcentral.
CCAGACUCCUACGGGAGGCAGCAGUGAGGAAUAUUGGUCAAUGGACGAGAGUCUGAACCAGCCAAGUAGCGUGAAGGAUGACUGCCCUAUGGGUUGUAAACUUCUUUUAUAAAGGAAUAAAACGAGGCACGUGUGCCUUUUUGCAUGUACUUUAUGAAUAAGGAUCGGCUAACUCCGUGCCAGCAGCCGCGGUAAUACGGAGGAUCCGAGCGUUAUCCGGAUUUAUUGGGUUUAAAGGGAGCGUAGAUGGGUUGUUAAGCCGGCGGUAAAAAUUCAGGGCUCAACCCUGUCGAGCCGUCGGAACUGGCAGUCUUGAGUGGGCGAGAAGUAUGCGGAAUGCGUGGUGUAGCGGUGAAGUGCAUAGAUAUCACGCAGAACGCCGAUUGCGAAGGCAGCAUACCGGCGCCCAACUGACGCUGAGGCACGAAAGCGUGGGGAUCGAACAGGAUUAGAUACCCCGGUA